AUUGAACGCUGGCGGAAUGCUUUACACAUGCAAGUCGAACGGCAGCACGGACUUCGGUCUGGUGGCGAGUGGCGAACGGGUGAGUAAUGUAUCGGAACGUGCCCAGUCGUGGGGGAUAACGUAGUGAAAAUUACGCUAAUACCGCAUACGAUCUAUGGAUGAAAGCGGGGGAUCGCAAGACCCCGCGCGAUUGGAGCGGCCGAUAUCAGAUUAGGUAGUUGGUGGGGUAAAGGCCCACCAAGACAACGAUCUGUAGCUGGUCUGAGCGGACGACCAGCCACACUGGAACUGAGAAACGGGCCAGACUCCUACGGGAGGCAGAAGUGGGGAAUUUUGGACAAUGGGCGAAAGCCUGAGCCAGCCAUUCCGCGUGCAGGAUGAAGGCCCUCGGGUUGUAAACUGCUUUUGUACAGAACGAAAAGGUUUCUACUAAUACUAGGAGCUCAUGACGGUACUGUAAGAAUAAGCACCGGCUAACUACGUGCCAGCCGCCGCCGUAA
This 500-nucleotide ribosomal RNA is filed under the name uncultured bacterium. Its description in RNAcentral is "partial 16S ribosomal RNA". It matches the Rfam family "Bacterial small subunit ribosomal RNA", at positions 30 to 523 of the family's 1533-position model. The record is from RNAcentral.